CUGGAUUCAACAUUGCUAGAGAACCCUCAAAACAACUUGGAGUCCGCACAAAUUUAUUAACAGUGGAAGAGAUUCCUGGCCUGAACACCAAUGGCCUCUCCAUAGCUCGUAUAGACUUCACUCCAGGCGGUGUAAACCCACCUCACAGCCAUCCUCGAGCUGCGGAGGUCAUGACUGUCAUAGAAGGAGCUCUAUAUGCAGGUUUUAUCACUUCGAAUCCGUGUCACCGUCUUUUCGCCAAGGUUUUUAAGCCAGGAGAUGUUUUUGUAUUCCCAUUUGGGCUCAUUCACUUCCAAAUGAAUAUUGGGAAAACCCCUGCAGUUGCUAUAGCUGCAUUGAACAGUCAGAAUCCAGGAGAAAUGACCUUGGCAAAUGCAGUAUUUGGUGCAGUUCCAUCUGUUAAUCCUGAUCUUCUUGCAAGAGCAUUCCAUACGGACAGGAAUAUAGUGAAUGAUCUUAUUAAGCAAGAAUGGGUCAACCCAUCUGAGCUUAGUGACAUUAUACAAGGAAAUAUGGAUUUCUAUCCUCAUCCAACUUGUUAAUUUAAGUUCUGGGAAAUGCAAAUAAGAAGAAGAGGAUGUGUAUUUAUAUAUAUGCAUAUCAUAUAUGCUUCAUGUUAUUGUAAUCAUUCAAUAAGUGUGAGGAUACUACCUCUAUGAUUACAAGGGCGGAGCAUGGAGAGACUCAGCCUCAGCAAUAAUUAUUUUUGUUCAAAAAAUUUACUUAAUAAAAAUAGUGCAUUUUAUUUUGUUUUUACUUGAUUUUGGAGUCUGGCUAAUCUUCUGAUUAUUAGCAGAAUUAAAUAUAUAUUGGAAUUACUAAUAAGGUAUUGGUUGAAUUGGUUAGCGACUUUAAUUCCGAUAAGGGUGGAAAUACAAGUUUGAUCCACGGAAAAUACAUUUUACUAGGAGAUCAAAAACCUUUUACAUUUUACAGCUGAAGGGGAUUAAACCUCUUGGUUAUACAAUAUUUAUUAUAUACUACAAUUAAUUAAUAUGAUAAAAUUAAAUCUCUUGUUUAGAUAUAAUAGCAAAAUAAAAGAGCGGAAUCCUCUCUUUAUUUUCCGUGAGUCUAUUUUUUAUUUUCUCCAAAUUAGACUAUUUAAAUUAGGUUGAUUCAAGAAAAAGCAAUAAAUUGUUAUUUUUGGUCCUUUCUUAUUUUUUCAAUUUCCUAAAUUAAAAAAAUUAAACAUAUAUAUUGGGAAUUUGUUUAGAAAAACUUGUAAUCGGAUAGAUGUAGAGGUCAAAUAAAACUGCAUGGAAUGGAAAAUUUUGCUCUGCUGUUUGCGGGAAUUAAGAAAGUUGUCGUUUGUAUAUUAUAGCUUGCGAAUCGGGGCUUCUAAUUAAGCUAAUUAAUUAAUAUUAAGUAAGAGCAAACUGACGUGAUCGAAUAGAUUCCGGUCUCCAAUUGAUCUUGCGUACUUGGAUUUAGUCUUAAAAUUCUAUAUAAUAUCACACAGUAUUCAAUUUCUUUUAGUCACAUGUGAUCUAAAUAAAAAUAAUAAUGUUUGAAAUAUUGUGCAAUUUACAUGGAUUUGUCUCUAUAAAUUAUAAUAUUUUGUUUAAUGUUAAAAUUUAUUUUUAAUAACUUGAGAGUUGAAAUGGGAUUGUAUUGAUAUUUUCUCUCUAAAAAUCAAUGAUCUUCAACUCGAACUCUGAAUUUAAAGUCAUUUUAAACAUCAGAAAGUAACUGCUUUGCUUCUUUUUAUGAACUUACUUGAUAAUUAAACAUUUCAAAACUUUUAAGUUUCAACAUUUUCAUAAGUUGGAUUGAAUCAUGGAUUUACUAGGUAAAUCUAUAGAUUUGACUAAAUGCCUUAACUUAUAUAUGUGUAUGUGUUAUAUUAAUUUAAUUUGAUUUAUAAUUUUAAAUAUAAAUACUAAAUUAUUUAUAUAUUUGGUAAUUCUUGCCUUUUUUAAUGCUCAUUCUUUCUUUAGCAUAAACUUGUUUUAAAAUGUUGCUAUUGUAACAUAUUUUAGUUUAAACUUAUUGUAUAUAUAAUUAUUUUAAUUUUGUUGGUUGUUUUUCUUAUUAGAAAAUUAAUUAAGUUAUAUGAUUAUCAUUAUUUAUUAUUACAAAAUUUAUUCUGAAAAUUUUGUUAGAAUAUAUUGUGGUUCAUAUAAAUUGUUGUAUAAUUAUGUUUUUAAGUAUAUUUAAUUUGUUGGUUAUUUCUCUUAAUAAAAUACUUAUAUUUUAUUUAAAACUGUUUUUCUUAUUUAUUUGAUCUACAGGUUUAUAUUGGACUCAUACCCAACUCAAUCUAUUUAUAACUCAUGGAUUCACGCAUUUGAUGGAUUGAAUUGGGUUAAAAAAAUCAUUAACCUAUACAUAUGGAUUUAGUACCUAAAUUUGAUCCACGUAAGGGUAUCAAAAUGAAUUAGCAUGUCAGGUUCGACAAUAAUCCUCCUAAUACGCAACACAAUUAGAGUUAAGUGUCAACACAAAUGCAAUCUAUUUAAUAAUUAUGUCAAAUAUUUAAAAAUGAAUAUGCCAUGAAAAGUAAAUAGUGAUGCAAAUAUAAUAUAUGUAACUCGUUUAAUAAAAUGGUUCAUAUAUGAGUCAAAUAAUUCAACCAAAUUUAGUUAAAUAGGUCGUAUACAGGUUAGAAACAAGACAGACAUAACCCGAUUAAUAUAUAUAUUGUAUAUGAAAUUAUUUUUUUUAUUUUUAAGUAAAUAAAUUAAACGAGUCAACUCAUGACAUGACUCAUUUAAAUUUAUAUUAUGUAUGAAUUACUGGUUUGUGAAAUCAACCUUUUUAAAUAUAACCCUAAUUUGUUUAAUUCUCGUGUCAUCAACAAUAUUGACAUCCAUGCACCCACGUAUUCCCUCGGGGAGGCGGGAAUAUUUUAACAUCUUGUAGGAAUAUUUUCUAAAAACGUGAAAUGUGAGUGAUAAUUGGAGACGUUAAAUGAAAACGUCCUAAAGUUAUAUUCUCUUAAAUCAUUAGAACGUGGCGAGCAUGUGGGAAUGGGCCGGGGAGCUUUUAUGCAUUCCAGAGCCAUUUGUUUCUAAGAAAUGACUUUUGAUUUGUAGCUAAAAAAAUCGUUUCUAAUUUUCAUUUUUCAUGUAGUGAAACUUGAUUCCUCUGUUGAUUAAUUUCCAUAAUUUUUUAGGGUGUUAUUUAUUUUCUGUUCAACACAUACGUAUUUAAACGGGUUUAGAUAAUUCUAAUCAGAUCCAAAAAGGAUUCGAGUAAUGUAAAUUUAUUUAAGCUUGGGUACUUUAUUUUAUAAACGAAUUAGGGUCGAAUAAGGCAAUUUUUGCAGGCAGCCGACCUAUUGUGUACCCCAAUUCCAAGCAUUUCAUGAAAAUGUGGGUACCUACUAUGCCACUAAUAUAGUUCCUUAUCCAUGGAGUGUGGGCAGCACACAUGGUGGUAGAUGGGAGAGGCAAGUCCAACAACUCCAAUUAAUUGUGGGACGCCUUUUGUAACCCUAACUCAUGAAUUGGAUUUUGAAUAAGUAAUUUCGAAACCCUUAAAAUUCAAUUUAAAGUUCGAAUUCAGAUACUUGGAUGUCUAAAAAAUAAUAAAUUUUUUUAUAUCUGAAUGAUUUUGAAUUUAGAUGGAAGGUGACAAAUAUUAAAAUAAAUUGAGUAUUUUUGUCAAAGAUAUGAUUUAUUAGUGAAAAUUUUUAUGAUCAGGUAUGACUUGAGUUCAGUUAGUUUAAUGAAACGAGUUGAUUUUAUUGAUUGAUUAGUAAUGGUCGAUAUAAAUGUGAUUUCGAGAGUUGUUAAUUAUGUACUCAUAAUAGUAUAAAUUGAUUUGAUAGAGAAGAUGAUAAUUGACCUUGGAGACAUAAAGAUGGGUUGGGGAAUGGGAUGUCUGUUGUGCAUCUUUUUUCUGGUUGAUAUGCUUGUUGAGUUUGUGGAGCCUAUUGAAGAUUGUGUUGUAUAUUAUUUAUCUUUUUGUCUGUAGGUAUAAAAUUAUAAUAGAAAAUUCUACUGAAAUUUUGGGUAUAAUUGUCUUAACUAUCACAAAUUAAAGUUCAAAACUUCAACUUUAUUUUUUCUUUACACAUGUAAGUGAUAAGCAUUAUCCAAUCUUUACCUGUAUUAUUAUGUUGGAGGAUCCCAUCCUUGUACUUGUUCAGGACAGGAUUAGGGUAUGAUUGUGGAAUCACUUAUUAGGGCAAAAGAAUUAUAAUGUUUCGUAAUGUUAUUGCAAAAUGGAGGUCGGUGAAUGAUCGUGUAGUCUCUUUAGGUUACACUAUUUAAAUAUAGCAUAGUUAAUUAGCUGGACAUAAUCUAUCCAAGCUACCAAAAGAGGUGAUAAUUGUAGGUUAAGAGAGUCACCGGCGAUGAGAGUUGCUCCCUAAAGUGAGGUUUCUGGCACCUAAUUCACAUCCUAUUAUUUGGUUUAUGAUUGUUGCUUGGAUGCCUUGUUUCAGCACUCAACCAAUGUGUAUACACUUUACAUGCUGCACUUUAGUAUGUAUUUUCAUCACUGUAGGCAUUGCGGCGAUCAAAUAAAGUUUUUCCUACAUAUAAUUACAAAGUCAAUUAAGAGUUUUCACAAAUAAAUUAGUUUACGCGUCGAUAGUUGCUAAUGUGUUAGUACAUGUAAGCAUAUAAUUACUUUCCUUUAAAAACUAUGUAGACUUAAUUCUUUCUUGUUAUAAUAAAUGAUAAGUUGUUCGAGACAAAUAAGUAAACAAUGAUAGAACUAAACGUUAAAACUAGGGAACAAAAAAUUUUCAAAAGUUAAAUGCUUGAUAAGCUUUUUCUUUUUUUUUUUUUUUUUUUUUUUUUUUUUAAAUUGAGCUAGGAGGGGCUAGGUGCCUAGACAUCCGAGUCCCGGUGACAAGAUUUAAACAACUUUCAAGAUUUUAUUUAGAUGUAAGGUAAAGUUUAUUGAAGUGAGCGAAAUUUAUUAAAGUUGCGUAAUGGUAACUACAUGUAUGAUCUGAUGAUAGAUUCAGUUUCGAAUCUCCUUAUAUAUAUAAAUUAGGUAAGGUGAUAAUAAAUUUUAUGCUACCAUGAAUUUUCAAAAUAAAGUAAGAGUAUUUAUAUAUAUUUGAAAGAAAGGACACAUUGUGUUGUUUAGUUUAAAGUUAUUAAAGAGUAAGGUUAAAUAUAAUACCAAAAUACUCAAAUCAUCAAUUUUGUUAUUUUUAUUAUAUAAAUUUUUAUGGAAUAAAAAGUAAUUAAUCAUCCCCAAUUUCUCAAAUUUAGUGGGCUAAAAACUUUUGAGUGGUUUUUGACCCAUUAGAUAACCAUAAAAAAAUCCUACUACUCAUUAAAACUUUCAUCUCGAACGAUCCAAUAAUUUAAUUUUUUAUCAUUGUUUAUAUGUCCAAUGACGUUAUUCUAAAUUGGGAAUAAUAUUAAUUCAAAUACGAAAGCUUAAUUAAGAUCCGACUUUUUUGAUAUAAUAUUAAAUUUUAUGCCUUAAAGAACCUGAAUUUUUUUUUAUAUUAGCAAAGAAGAAUUUUUAAUUAAGAAUUAAGUAGAAAUAAAUAUAUGUUCAGAUAAAACUCAGCGAUCCAAGUUACUACACCCAAGUCAUCAGGCUUUUCUCAAUGCACUCUAUCUUAUUUUGGAAAUUAAGUAAAACCUGAAUCCAUAUCCAAUACAUAGCCCAAAAUACAAGUGACAGAAAAAUCAAAUUGACUUGUAUUAGACUAGUGCAUCAAAAUUAAUAACUAAUGUUUGAUAAGUUGAGUACUCUAUUGGAUUUGAUAAAAUUUUCCUUGAUUUUAUAAUUUAAUAAAAUAAAAUAUGAAGUGUUGACAAAAAAAAUACUAACAAAUGUUUAUAUUAUUUUGUAAUAAUAUUUUAAUAAGAAUCCAUUUAUUAAUUGAUAUCAGUUGUUAAAGUUUUUUAGAACUGUGAUAAUUUGAAAAUUGUUUGAAAAAUUCAGGGCAAGCAAAAUUGAUUGGCCAUAAAUAAAUUAUAUCAAUACCAGAAUGUAGCUAUCUUGAAGCACAAAAAUUCAGAGUAUAGUUAUUUUCAAGGUCUCAUUUUCUUACAUUUUCAAACCUAAUUUUAGGAAUUAAUAAGGAACCAGUUAAAUAAAACAAGGCAAAUUUCUACAGAAAUUUCUGUAAGGAAAAAUUUAAUUGUAUCUCUUCAUUAUAAUUCAACAAACAAAAUCGAAAAUAAAUUCUAGAUAAAAAAUGUACUUUCAGUAAUCGGUAAUAAUGCUUGAAAGAUAAUAAAUAUUUUCGGUGCAAUAAUUGAAAUUUAAAAUUUUCCUUGUGUAUAAAUAGCCAUGCAUUCCAUGCAAGAUUUUGUCAUCUCUUACCAAACAAAUAUCAUAAUACACAAGAAUUCUAAUUGUCACUCCUAAGUAUAACGAAAAUGGCUAAUUUGCUGAUAGCUCUUGGUGUUUUGGCUAUGGCUUCCUCAUUUGCCAUUGCCUAUGAUCCUAGCCCUCUCCAAGAUUUCUGCGUCGCAACUGAUGAUUCUGCUUCCGGCGGUAUGUACAUUUUGCUUUUCCUUUAUUUUAAUUUCCUUUUCUAGGAUUUAGUAUUUCAUUUUCAGACAGUUAGUUUGUCUCCCAUCAACUUCAUUAUUGAUGAAUAAUGUUAUGUUAAAGUUUCAUAAAUAAAAAUAGACAUGGGUCAGGGUGAGCAAAAUUUGGCUACUUCAGAUGUAUAUUAUAUUACAUUUGCCCAUAAAAGACUUAUGAUCUGAAUUUUGGUUUUAAGAUCACCUAGUAAGAUAAUUUAGUUUUGGCUUGGAAGAUGAUCCUAUAUUAACAUUUUAAUUUUUUGGUGCUUUUAGUAUUCGUAAAUGGAAAAUUCUGCAAGGAUCCAGAAACGGUAACACCAGAUGACUUUUCUUAUACUGGAUUCAACAUUCCUAGAGAAACCUCACAACAGCUUGGAGUUCGCACAAAUCUCUUAACUGUGAACGACAUUCCUGGCCUUAACACAAAUGGUCUGUCCAUAGUUCGUAUUGACUUCACACCUGGAGGUGUAAAUCCACCUCACAACCAUCCUCGAGCUGCAGAAAUUAUCACUGUCUUGGAAGGAACUCUAUAUGCAGGUUUUAUCACUUCGAAUCCCGAUCACCGCCUUUUCGCCAAGGUUUUGAAGCCAGGGG
Molecule: long non-coding RNA, 7049 nt
Filed under: Jatropha curcas
Lineage: Eukaryota; Viridiplantae; Streptophyta; Magnoliopsida; Malpighiales; Euphorbiaceae
Description: long non-coding RNA (JCUR_LNC000147)
Source: RNAcentral